This 214-nucleotide long non-coding RNA is filed under the name Phaseolus vulgaris (common bean). RNAcentral describes it as "long non-coding RNA (PVUL_LNC002083)". Lineage: Eukaryota; Viridiplantae; Streptophyta; Magnoliopsida; Fabales; Fabaceae. The record is from RNAcentral.
AUCUGACUUUGGCAUCGGAGCGCCUUGCAGGUACACACACCCACCUGUGAGGAGAAGAAGCCGAGAGCCCAACUCGAGUAGAAGCCAUGAGAGCCCAACCCGAGAAGAAGCCGAGAGCACCUAGCUGAAGGAGAAGCCGAGAGCACCUAGCUGAAGGAGAAGCCGAGAGCACCUAGCUGAAGGAGAAGCCGAGAGCAUCUACCUUGAGGAGAAG